RNAcentral lists this ribosomal RNA (463 nucleotides) under uncultured bacterium. Its description in RNAcentral is "bacterial SSU rRNA". It matches the Rfam family "Bacterial small subunit ribosomal RNA", at positions 335 to 784 of the family's 1533-position model. The record is from RNAcentral.
ACUCCUAGCGGGAGGCAGCAGUGGGGAAUUAUUGGACCAAUGGGGGAACCCUGAUCCAGCCAUGCCGCGUGUGUGAAGAAGGCCUUCGGGUUGUAAAGCACUUUCAGUGGGGAGGAAAGGUUGAUGGUUAAUACCUAUCAGCUGUGACGUUACCCACAGAAGAAGCACCGGCUAACUCCGUGCCAGCAGCCGCGGUAAUACGGAGGGUGCAAGCGUUAAUCGGAAUUACUGGGCGUAAAGCGUGCGCAGGCGGUCUGUUAAGCGAGAUGUGAAAGCCCCCGGGCUCAACCUGGGGAACUGCAUUUCGAACUGGCAGACUAGAGUCUUGUAGAGGGGGGUAGAAUUCCAGGUGUAGCGUGAAAUGCGUAGAGAUCUGGAGGAAUACCGGUGGCGAAGGCGGCCCCCCUGGACAAAGACUGACGCUCAGGCACGAAAAGCGUGGGGGAGCAAACAGGAUUAGAUA